AGCGAUGUGGCGCAGCGGAAGCGUGUUGGGCUCAUAACUCAAAGGUCGAAGGAUCGAAACCUUCCAUCGCUA
RNAcentral lists this transfer RNA (72 nucleotides) under Phaeodactylum tricornutum CCAP 1055/1. RNAcentral's name for it is "tRNA-Met for anticodon CAU". It matches the Rfam family "tRNA". Rfam says of the family: Transfer RNA (tRNA) molecules are approximately 80 nucleotides in length. Their secondary structure includes four short double-helical elements and three loops (D, anti-codon, and T loops). The record is from Rfam by way of RNAcentral. Lineage: Eukaryota; Bacillariophyta; Bacillariophyceae; Surirellales; Neidiaceae.